CAGUAGCCACGGGAACACGAAGGGGGCUAGCGUUGCUCGGAAUGACUGGGCGUAAAGGGCGCGUAGGCGGUUUUGACAGUCAGAUGUGAAAUUCCUGGGCUUAACCUGGGGGCUGCAUUUGAGACGUCAAGACUAGAGUGUGAGAGAGGGUUGUGGAAUUCCCAGUGUAGAGGUGAAAUUCGUAGAUAUUGGGAAGAACACCGGUGGCGAAGGCGGCAACCUGGCUCAUUACUGACGCUGAGGCGCGAAAGCGUGGGGAGCAAACAGGAUUAGAUACCCCCGUAGUCCCUGUCUCUUAUAC
RNAcentral lists this ribosomal RNA (301 nucleotides) under uncultured bacterium. RNAcentral describes it as "partial 16S ribosomal RNA". It matches the Rfam family "Bacterial small subunit ribosomal RNA", at positions 509 to 807 of the family's 1533-position model. The record is from RNAcentral.